This 658-nucleotide long non-coding RNA is filed under the name Coffea arabica (coffee). RNAcentral's name for it is "long non-coding RNA (CARA_LNC001405)". The record is from RNAcentral. Lineage: Eukaryota; Viridiplantae; Streptophyta; Magnoliopsida; Gentianales; Rubiaceae.
ACAAAUUCAUAUCCUAAAUUAUUUGCAAACCACAAUUUUGAAGAGGUGUGCACUGGACUCUGAUGAGGUACUUUGUGGAAGUGUGGUGUGGGGAGACACUUCAAGGAUUCAAGGACUAUUUUAGAAGGUAAUGUAUUAUUGGUUGCGUAGGAGCUCAAAAGAGGCCAUAACCGGAAUGCAAUUCUAUUAAUACGGAUACUGAUUGACAUGUCCUAUAGGGGUCUAAACCUUUACUACUUCUGGGAGGUACACAUGAAGAGGGGACCCUUGAUGACACAACUUGAUGCUGAUAUUUCAGGAAGAUAAGGGAGUGGAAAGGAAAAAUUCCAUCUUUUCUUGGAAGCAAAGAACGUGACAGAAUCGAAAAAUAGGCAAAAGAGAAGGAGAGGGCGCUGCCAGCCUAACGAUGGUUACAUUUCUAUCAAGGAGAGAGUGCUCACAUUUCCUAGUUCUCAUUGAACAGAAGCUCCCAACUUUUGGCUAUUGUGGCUUAUUACCCUUUUCCCACUAAAGCUCAAGCCAUCUUAUCUCCCUCUCCCUCUCCCUCACACUGGUUGGUUAGAAUUAUUGGUUUACACCGAGAUGUGUACAUAGUGUGGACUGUGGAGUCCAUCUUUCAUUUUCACCAUUCCUGAAAGCAAAUCAAUUCAAACUCCCG